RNAcentral lists this ribosomal RNA (579 nucleotides) under Rhodotorula diobovata. RNAcentral's name for it is "LSU rRNA". It matches the Rfam family "Eukaryotic large subunit ribosomal RNA", at positions 1 to 577 of the family's 3401-position model. Lineage: Eukaryota; Fungi; Basidiomycota; Microbotryomycetes; Sporidiobolales; Sporidiobolaceae. The record is from RNAcentral.
UUGAUUAGAUCUCAAAUCAGGUAGGACUACCCGCUGAACUUAAGCAUAUCAAUAAGCGGAGGAAAAGAAACUAACAAGGAUUCCCCUAGUAGCGGCGAGCGAAGCGGGAAGAGCUCAAAUUUAUAAUCUGGCACCUUCGGUGUCCGAGUUGUAAUCUCUAGAAGUGUUUUCCGCGUUGGACCGCACACAAGUCUGUUGGAAUACAGCGGCAUAGUGGUGAAACCCCCGUAUAUGGUGCGGACGCCCAGCGCUUUGUGAUACACUUUCAAUGAGUCGAGUUGUUUGGGAAUGCAGCUCAAAUUGGGUGGUAAAUUCCAUCUAAAGCUAAAUAUUGGCGAGAGACCGAUAGCGAACAAGUACCGUGAGGGAAAGAUGAAAAGCACUUUGGAAAGAGAGUUAACAGUACGUGAAAUUGUUGGAAGGGAAACGCUUGAAGUCAGACUUGCUUGCCGGAGCUUGCUUCGGUUUGCAGGCCAGCAUCAGUUUUCCGGGGUGGAUAAUGACGGUUUGAAGGUAGCAGUCUCGGCUGUGUUAUAGCUUUCCGUUGGAUACGCCCUGGGGGACUGAGGAACGCAGCGU